GACGAACGCUGGCGGCGUGCUUAACACAUGCAAGUCGAACGGUGAAGCGCCUUCCUUUUUGGUGGGUGUGGAUGAGUGGCGAACGGGUGAGUAACACGUGAGUAACCUGCCCCCUUCUUCUGGAUAACCGCAUGAAAGUGUGGCUAAUACGGGAUAUUCUGGGUCUGUCGCAUGAUGGGUCUGGGAAAGAUAUUGUUUCGGUGGGGGAUGGGCUCGCGGCCUAUCAGCUUGUUGGUGGGGUGAUGGCCUACCAAGGCGGUGACGGGUAGCCGGCCUGAGAGGGUGGACGGUCACACUGGGACUGAGACACGGCCCAGACUCCUACGGGAGGCAGCAGUGGGGAAUAUUGCACAAUGGGCGCAAGCCUGAUGCAGCGACGCCGCGUGAGGGAUGGAGGCCUUCGGGUUGUGAACCUCUUUCGCCAGUGAAGCAGGCCUGCCUCGUUUGUGGGUGGGUUGACGGUAGCUGGGUAAGAAGCGCCGGCUAACUACGUG
Molecule: ribosomal RNA, 494 nt
Filed under: uncultured bacterium
Lineage: Bacteria
Description: partial 16S ribosomal RNA
Rfam family: Bacterial small subunit ribosomal RNA
Source: RNAcentral